GAACGCUGGCGGCGUGCCUAAUACAUGCAAGUCGAACGCACAGCGAAAGGUGCUUGCACCUUUCAAGUGAGUGGCGAACGGGUGAGUAACACGUGGACAACCUGCCUCAAGGCUGGGGAUAACAUUUGGAAACAGAUGCUAAUACCGAAUAAAACUUAGUGUCGCAUGACACAAAGUUAAAAGGCGCUUCGGCGUCACCUAGAGAUGGAUCCGCGGUGCAUUAGUUAGUUGGUGGGGUAAAGGCCUACCAAGACAAUGAUGCAUAGCCGAGUUGAGAGACUGAUCGGCCACAUUGGGACUGAGACACGGCCCAAACUCCUACGGGAGGCUGCAGUAGGGAAUCUUCCACAAUGGGCGAAAGCCUGAUGGAGCAACGCCGCGUGUGUGAUGAAGGCUUUCGGGUCGUAAAGCACUGUUGUAUGGGAAGAACAGCUAGAAUAGGAAAUGAUUUUAGUUUGACGGUACCAUACCAGAAAGGGACGGCUAAAUACGUGCCAGCAGCCGCGGUAAUACGUAUGUCCCGAGCGUUAUCCGGAUUUAUUGGGCGUAAAGCGAGCGCAGACGGUUUAUUAAGUCUGAUGUGAAAGCCCGGAGCUCAACUCCGGAAUGGCAUUGGAAACUGGUUAACUUGAGUGCAGUAGAGGUAAGUGGAACUCCAUGUGUAGCGGUGGAAUGCGUAGAUAUAUGGAAGAACACCAGUGGCGAAGGCGGCUUACUGGACUGCAACUGACGUUGAGGCUCGAAAGUGUGGGUAGCAAACAGGAUUAGAUACCCUGGUAGUCCACACCGUAAACGAUGAACACUAGGUGUUAGGAGGUUUCCGCCUCUUAGUGCCGAAGCUAACGCAUUAAGUGUUCCGCCUGGGGAGUACGACCGCAAGGUUGAAACUCAAAGGAAUUGACGGGGACCCGCACAAGCGGUGGAGCAUGUGGUUUAAUUCGAAGCAACGCGAAGAACCUUACCAGGUCUUGACAUCCUUUGAAGCUUUUAGAGAUAGAAGUGUUCUCUUCGGAGACAAAGUGACAGGUGGUGCAUGGUCGUCGUCAGCUCGUGUCGUGAGAUGUUGGGUUAAGUCCCGCAACGAGCGCAACCCUUAUUGUUAGUUGCCAGCAUUCAGAUGGGCACUCUAGCGAGACUGCCGGUGACAAACCGGAGGAAGGCGGGGACGACGUCAGAUCAUCAUGCCCCUUAUGACCUGGGCUACACACGUGCUACAAUGGCGUAUACAACGAGUUGCCAACCCGCGAGGGUGAGCUAAUCUCUUAAAGUACGUCUCAGUUCGGAUUGUAGUCUGCAACUCGACUACAUGAAGUCGGAAUCGCUAGUAAUCGCGGAUCAGCACGCCGCGGUGAAUACGUUCCCGGGUCUUGUACACACCGCCCGUCACACCAUGGGAGUUUGUAAUGCCCAAAGCCGGUGGCCUAACCUUUUAGGAAGGAGCCGUCUAAGGCAGGACAGAUGACUGGGGUGAAGU
RNAcentral lists this ribosomal RNA (1474 nucleotides) under Leuconostoc mesenteroides subsp. mesenteroides. Its description in RNAcentral is "bacterial SSU rRNA". It matches the Rfam family "Bacterial small subunit ribosomal RNA". The record is from RNAcentral. Lineage: Bacteria; Bacillati; Bacillota; Bacilli; Lactobacillales; Lactobacillaceae.